Long non-coding RNA from Carcharodon carcharias (great white shark), 4408 nucleotides. RefSeq lists it as uncharacterized. The record is from RefSeq and is a predicted model, not a curated record. NCBI's taxonomy places the organism in Eukaryota, Metazoa, Chordata, Chondrichthyes, Lamniformes, Lamnidae. The transcript has 3 exons.
CUCUGUUCCCCUCGGCUGUGCCUAACCCUCAGAACUAGGCCACAUCCAGCACCACCCAGCGUAACAGACCUUCCCUCUUUUCUGUUUACUCCAGGUGUUGGUCAAGAGCAGGAUCUGAGAGUUGGGGAAGAAUCAGGGGAGAGGGAGAGUUGAGCCUCAGCCUGCGUCUCUAAAUGCCUCUUUCUAUUCCACAGGUUCUGGUGAUAUGGACGGAUUGUCAAAGAAUUCCCCAAACAACAUGACCGGGCUGAGCAAUCCUCCGGGAACUCCGCGUGACGAUGGCGAGAUGACAGGCAACUUCUUAAACCCAUUCCAAAAUGAAAGUUACUCCCCCAGUAUGACAAUGAGCGUGUGACCGAACCCUCUGAAUCCCCUCAUCCGACCCUCAUGCAAACCUGCUGGAAAUGACAAGAAACUAUUCACGUGCGAGGCCAAUCCCAUUCGAAAAAAAUAAUAUUUAAUGGACAAUUACUUGAGCAGCAGAGUUUGGUGCUCCAACGCUGUAGGAAAACCUCAGGAGUUUAUAUGCUGCUCGUGGAAGCCUGCUGGAGGAACCAAAGUGGUCACUUUUACACAAUGGGGAAGGAUGAGGUGGGACACAAGGGAGGAGGGGAUAACAGAAUGAACGAGUGGUGCAGGGUGAUCAAAGACAUUUUACUGUUUUAAGACAUGUUUUUUGUAUGAAAAAUGUUGUGCAUUCAGAUAAGAAGAUAACAAAAUCAAGGUCUCAACCUGGAGCAGGCUUGAGCAAGUGCACUGUACGAGUAUUUCAGUUAUUAAGUGAUGUGUUUUAUCGAACACUAUCCUUUCACUGACUCAAUGAUUCCAAUUAACCUCUUUGAAAUGAGGUGGAGUGGGGAGGGAGCUCCUUGUAACAUGUAAUGAUCUGGGGUUUCUCCUCCAGCUCAGUGAUGUCUAUGGGCGUGAAGCCUGUGAUGUGGCACUGCUAGGGAUCGAAGCCAAGCAGAGCUCCUCAGCUAGUGUGACCUCUUGAUAACCCACCCACUGAAAGCAGAACUCCUCUCUUAGCAGGGCACUGGCUUGGUAUUUUGGCAUUGGAUGAGUGCCACAGGUUCCCCCAUAUUUUCAUGAUUAUAUGAGACAGUGAUGUGCACCAAAAUCCUGCUGUCUGUCUGUCUCUCUCUCCUCUCCCUAUCCCGGUGUUCUCCGUUAUAGAAAGGAUUGAGCCUGUCACAAUGGACAAAGGGGAGUCUGUUAGCAAAAAGUCUUGUCACAGACAAUUUCAGAAACAUUUCCUGGGAAGAAAAUUGGUGGCAGUGAGAUGGCCCAAAACUGCUGUUGCUGCUCCGUCUCUUAACAACCAAAGAAACGGAGUAUUUGGCUGUCUGCUGGUGUGAGAACCUCAUUUUGCAAUGGUUUAACUGUCCCUGGUUGGCCUAGCAAGCUUUCCAGUUCAGUCACUGCUCUUUCCAGAGGAUCUCACUCCUUGUCACUGCCACUUCCUUCCUCUGCUUUGACUGAAGGAUCUCAACCCCCAACCUCAUCUCAAAAUCACAAAAUAAAAACAGAAAAUGCAGGUCUGGCAGCAUCUGUGGAGAGAGAAAUAGAGUUAAUGUUUCGAGUCUGUACGACUCCUCUUCAGAACCACGAGUUUGCUGUAAAUUUAAUCCAGGCUCCUGUGCUUGUUUUGAUAUUUGGGAAUGAAAAUUGACAAAAUUGUAGAUCGUUGAUGGUUUUAUGUCUUGGAGCACAAAGGACGUAUUGUACCUGAGCUUUUCUGAAAAAGGGAUCCUCAUGAGGGUUUCUCCCAACACCAUUUCCCUGAGUUGGUUGGUGAAUCAUCGCAGCUGAUGAUUGAGAGGGUUUCUGGUGUACCCUCUGUUCUGUGCUGAGAUCAGUCCGAAGACGUGUCCUGAAACCUUGUGGGUGAAAACUUUCUGGAGAAGCACCAGACUUGUCCUUUGGGGACAGCUUCAUGUGAGAGAGAUGUGAAUCAAUGAGGUGUAGCUUACCAGAGCACAAAUUUGCUUCCUACCAGCCCCUAAUGCAGGUACUCAAAGCAUCCUUGUAAAUAUUGUAACCGUUUAUAAGUUCUGUCAUUCAGUCAGUGGAACCAGUUCCAUGGGGCGUUCCAGGGGUAGGGGUGGCUCUGUAUUUCCUCACCUCACUGUGGCAAUGAUCGACUGCUGCUGAAUUGCACAUUUUCAAGAAAAGUAUUUGGCCUCACUAUUACAUCUGUAAGUGUUUCACAAACGGUGUCUUCACUGUUACUCAACUGUCAAUAAGACAGUUUCCCUUGUGCCUAACAGGAUCUCACAAACAGCAAGGGGGAUCAAGUAAUGUGCUGGUAUUGGUUAAGUUGAUAAUGUUGGACAGGACACUGGGAGAGAUUCCUUCUCUUCCAGUGUGUCCUUGGGAUCUUUAACAUUCAUCAAAGACUCACCAGGACAGAGAGAUGCAGAUCAGUCCAAAGGACAUUGAUUAAUACCACAGGCCCAGUAGAGCAUGUUCAUAGCAAAGUGAAACUUGGCUUUUCAACCAUGGGAGGGGAUUAUUGUGGAGGCUUCAUUGAGUUGUACAGGAUUUUAAAUUGUAUGUAAACUGUAAAUCCGAAUGUUCUUUCAAUAAAAUGGUACAGGGUCCAAGCAGGGAAAAGGUUGAUUUAAGACCAAUCAUGCAUAGCCUCUCCAUUGGGGAGUUGAGGGAAACCCUUGGAACAAUUUAAGAAACAGUUGAAUGAAGGGAUGGGAGAUUGGGAACUAACAAGAGUUUCUGGUUAGAUGGGGUGAAUGGUCUCUUUUGCCCAGAUGGAAAAACUGACAGGUUUCCCAGGGUAUGUAAAAUACUUUUCUUCAGAUUAUUCCAUGUAACAGACAAUCCCAGUGGACUGAUGUUGUGUCUACUGGGAAUUAAUUAUUCCUCUGAUCGAUCCCCUGGCUCUCAUGUGGUAGUUGCUACUGAUCCAAUUCUUGUGAAUAAAGCUGUGUGCCAUUCACAAGAUUCAUUAAGGUUUUUCACUACUUAUUAUUCAGUAUGGUCACUGAGCUAAAUGGAUCAGGAUCAACUGCUGAUCAUUGAUUCCUUGAUCACUGCCCUCAGUGCUGUUGUGAAGUCUUAAAAAUGGUUUGUUCUGUCUUUCUCUCUCACUCUCCAGCUCUGCUUCUCCUGCAUGCCCCAGCUCUCCAUCUUGUUUGUGCACAUGCUUUUGCACAGUCCCUUAUGCACUUUGAUGUUUCCUUUCACACACUCCCAUGCUCUUUCAUACUUUCACAUUUCAUGAUGGUUCUGUCUUUCUCCUGUGGGAAGGUGCAGAGAGCCAAUGCUCACGUGGUGCUAAAAUUCAAGUUUUAGCUUCAAACUUCCCUCAGUGGAAUUGACUGCACUUUUCAUGUUUGAUUGUCUGUCCAUUCCUCAGGUUCUGACACUGGGGGAAGUGAUUGAGAUUUCAAUCUUGGAAACGCCUGCCUCAUAUUCUCCCCCACCCAGAGCACAUGUUGCCAUGUUAUCAAUAACUUGUACAGGGCCGUUCUGGCAGGUAGGAGACAUUGGGGUGUUGCAUUUCAGUAAUGUAUUAGUGAGUAAUGCCAAGAGAGCAUUGCAUUAAAAAUCCAUCCAUAAUGCCCUGAUUAUGUGGAGAAGGGGCUCCAGUGAGUGAAUACACUCCCCAGUGUCGUACUUAUCUGAAAGGAUCAUAGAGCUGACGCAAUGAUCGCUGGACUCACGUAGGAGUUUCACUCUGCUUCAGCAUCAAUGUUAUGGGAUGGGAGGGUGGUGGUUUAAAGCAGGCAGGGCUUCUCACCAUUCUCCUGCCCAUCCCCCUGUCCCACCCCGACUCCACUGUCCAGUAGUCCUGGCUGGAAACCUGUGUGUGUGUGGGCAUCAAGCUGCAGGACAUACUGUGAUAUCCUUCUUAAUCACAUAACCUGCCAAUUGCCUCUAUCCUAGGUUCAGAAGGAAAAGUGGGGAGUUCCUGCAGGAAGCCCUCUCCCAGUAUCUCAUACUCCAGCCAGAGUUGGCACAUUUUAAAUGAGGGGUGAGAGGGAUAAGAGAAUAUUGUGGUGUGCAUCAGACCAGAUAACCUUUUAAAAUAAGUUUGUGUCAUGGUUAUAUAAAAUACAAAUUUGCCACUUGACACCAAGAAGGACCUCAGUCAAGCUCUGACCCUCUUGUUUAAUUAGAUAUAUUUUUUUAAAUAUCUGUUAUAACACUGUACAGCCCCAUAUUCCCGCUGUCUGCCAAUUGAUGUAUAAUUGCAUUAAAACCUUGUGUUAAAUCAUGACAGUAUUGAACACAAAAGUUGGCUCCUGCCCACAGCAGUUUGCUGAUCCCAAUCCCAGGGCCAUGGUUUGCUAUAGUCGUUCUGUGUAGUAUAUAUAUUGUCAUCUGUAUGUUCUUUAUAUAUUGUAAAGAUUCUUUAGAUGGUCAGUUGCAUAUUAAACUGCAUCAA